UAAAUCAUCUAAGAUCCAGAAGGGACUCCACAGGAAGAGGACGAGGGUGACCGCCUUUACGAUGUUUAGUUGAUGAAUGUAAUCAUCGUUUUGUGUCUACGUACGCACCUGGAUAGCUGACUUUAUAUGAACUCCUUCUACUGCGGUCCAGAAGUAAUAUGUCUGAUCAAAGGUGUGUCUUGCAAAUGCUGAUACUGUGAUGCAGCCUACCAGGACAUACCCAUUGGCCAGGAACUCCGUCACAGUCACAUG
Molecule: long non-coding RNA, 252 nt
Organism: Lytechinus pictus (painted urchin)
Lineage: Eukaryota; Metazoa; Echinodermata; Echinoidea; Temnopleuroida; Toxopneustidae
Exons: 2
Source: RefSeq, a predicted model, not a curated record